AGGUUUACACAGUGGCCGUAUUGUAGCCAAUGUGAGGUAUAUCCAAGGCAUGAUUAUUGCUAAUUGAAAACUUUGCCCACA
Molecule: small nuclear RNA, 81 nt
Filed under: Otolemur garnettii (small-eared galago)
Lineage: Eukaryota; Metazoa; Chordata; Mammalia; Primates; Galagidae
Description: U4 spliceosomal RNA
Rfam family: U4 spliceosomal RNA
About the family: U4 small nuclear RNA (U4 snRNA) is a component of the major U2-dependent spliceosome. The structure of U4 snRNA from yeast and human has been reported.
Source: Rfam by way of RNAcentral